AAUGAACGCUGGCGGCAUGCCUAACACAUGCAAGUCGAGCGGACGGAGGGAGCUUUUUCCUGGAUUCAGCUGCGGGCGGGUGAGUAAUGCCCAUGAAUCUGCCUGGCAUUUGGGUAUAACGUCCCUACACGGGCGCUUAUACCGCACACGUCAUUAUGGUGAACCUGGUGGUUCUUCGGACCUCACGCGAUCUGAUGAGACUAGGUGGGAUUAGCUAGCUGGUGGGGUAAGGGCCUACCAAGGCGACGAUGCGUAGCUGGUCUGAGAGGCUGAUCAGCCACCCUGGAACUGAGACACGGUCCAGACUCCUACGGGAGGCCGCAGUGGGGAAUAUUGGGCAAUGGGCGAAAGCCUGAUCCAGCCAUGCCGCGUGUGUGAAGAAGGUCUUCGGAUUGUAAAGCCCUUUUAGUAGGGAGGAACAGCUGUAUGUUUAUACCUGGCUGUAUUGACGGUACCAACAGAAUAAGCACCGGCUAACUACGUG
Molecule: ribosomal RNA, 484 nt
Filed under: uncultured bacterium
Lineage: Bacteria
Description: partial 16S ribosomal RNA
Rfam family: Bacterial small subunit ribosomal RNA
Source: RNAcentral